GCCUGACCCAGGGCUCUGGGGACAGGAAUAAGGCAUGAUUUCCAAAGCUUCAAAACAAGCACAGGAGUCUCACAACCGGCACAGUGCCCUGAGUGAGCAAGGGAAGAGGUGCUGAUGGAGGAGGUUGCCCAAGUCCCAGGAGGGGACAUCACUGGUGGUCCUGUGUCAGGUAGCAGACUGACUGACUGAUUUCACUGUUCUGAUGGCCUUGCAUCCAGGACUAUAUCUCUUAAGCUCCUUUUGCUUCACUUCCCUUUUCCCUUGAGAAGAUAUGAAGUCAGUAAAGGGUGGACGGCUUCUUGUCCAACUGUGAUUCAGGAGGAAGCUUAGCCACAAAACAGUCCAGAACUUGUGUUCCUGGGAGCUGGAUUGAAGCUGAAAGAGAAUGGUUAUGAUGGAUUGCUUGUUGCGAUCAAUCCUCGGGUACCGGAGGACUUGAAGCUGAUCAGAAACAUUCAGGAGAUGAUCACCGAAGCUUCCUUUUACCUGUUCAAUGCGACCAAGAGAAGGGUGUUUUUCAGAAGUGUACAGAUUCUAAUACCUGCCACUUGGACAGCGCAUAAUUACAGCAGGGUUA
RNAcentral lists this long non-coding RNA (577 nucleotides) under Rattus norvegicus (Norway rat). RNAcentral describes it as "long non-coding RNA NONRATT016929". Lineage: Eukaryota; Metazoa; Chordata; Mammalia; Rodentia; Muridae. The record is from RNAcentral.